This 459-nucleotide long non-coding RNA is filed under the name Mytilus galloprovincialis (Mediterranean mussel). The record is from RNAcentral. Lineage: Eukaryota; Metazoa; Mollusca; Bivalvia; Mytilida; Mytilidae.
UCUUGGUGCUAACACAUUUACUGUAUAAUGGUGGCCAGUUUUAACUGGCGGAGCAAGUCGGAGUAACCAGCGAGAACUAUCGAUAUUAUUCUGAAAAACUUGUUAUUCCAAUUUACAAAAUCUGAGUCAUCUUGCCGUAGCGGGAUCUGGACUCAAAACUUUUGUGUGUUGAUAGGCUUAGCGAUCACUGUGUCUUUUUCAAAAUUAUCCUAUUAAGAGGUUGUUAACUGUUAAAUAUAGAUAUAAUUUUUUCCAUGUUUUGUCCUAUUUUUUUUUAUUUUUCUAUUCCUUUUUAAAAUAUUUCUUGCAUUAAGUUCCCAAAACGUUAUGUCUCCUUUCAGCAUUCUUGACUUUUUGAACUUUGCUCAGAUAUUUCUCCACAGGUUUCAGAAACCGUUAUAAUUUGCAAAUUGAGGUAAGUUGUCUUUCAAAUAGCCUUCAAUCCAUGUCCCAUCUCUG